CUCCUCCUCUGCUUCACCUGGAUGAGGGUGCUGCUUCAACCCACUCACCCUUUCCUUCCCUACUGCCCUCUACACUAGGGCAUCAAAACUCUCCACAACCAAGGGCCUCACCUCCCACUGCUUUCAGCAAGGCCAUCCUCUGUUACAAUGUACCUGGAGCUAUAGAUCCCUCCUUAUACACUCCUGGGUUUGUAGUCUAGUCUCCGGGAACACUGGGUGGUCCUGUCAGCAGUUGUUGUUCUUCCAAUAGAGUUGCAACCCCCCUCUGCACUUCCAGUUUUUCCCCAAGCUCCCUGAAGAAGUUCCAUGAGCUCAGGCUAAUGGUUGGUUCCAACUGUCAGUUGCUGGCCAGACCUCCCAAAGAACUGCCACUCCAGGUUCCUGUCUGCAAGCACCUCUUGACCACAGGAGCAGUGUCUGGUUUGGCUACUGCAGACAGGAUGGAUCCCCAGUGUGGGAUCCUAUCUGAUAAAGUCAUUUCUCGCACAGUGAGAGGAGCAUUGGAUCAUCAGAGAUUCAUGUUCUGUAGUACCAGGAAGCAUUUGUGAACACCGAAAGACCAAUCAGGUGCCGAUCCGAUCCGAUACAAUCACACAAGAGUCUUUAUUCACAAGUUCAAACUCGGGCUUAAGUCAUGCUGACCCACAGGAUGGUUUCGGUGGAUAAAAGCCCCAAACACUCCUCAGGACAAGAUUUUAUAGGAAAUAUCAAGAGAAGGCAGCCAGAAUAUAGCACUUCAGAAACAAAGUACCAGAGAAACAAAUGGACAGCAAACAUCAAUUCUGAAAUACAUUGUCUCUGAUCUAUGCAGCUUGGAUAGUGAAUUUCUUUCCAUAAAUAGUUAAUAAGAUAUCAGCUCUAAUGACAAGAAUAAACUGUUAAACCAAUUCAUUUAGGAGCUCAGUAUUGGCUGUUCCCUGAGAGGUUGUACAAGUACCUGACCAAUUCAGAUGCAGAUAGAGCCAACCAUCAGAAGGAGCCCAGGGACCCCUAAGGAAGAGCUGGAUUCUGUGGCAGAAGAAGCUCAGCAGCUCAGCAGGCAGUCUGCUUCUGCAGAGCUGACAUAGAUGAAUCUUUAGCUCAUGGACUGAAGAGAUAAAUGAGAAAAACAAAGAGUUUCCAUGGAAUAAUCAUCAGAUUUUAUGCUUCACCAGUUCCUGUCACUUCCCAAUAGCAUGAUGCUGAAGACUGGAUUUUACUAUGUAAACAUUUUCAAGACACUGAAGAUUUGAAGUAUUUUUUAAUAUAGCCAACUUUUCUCAUAACAAGUCCUUUAUUUGAAUCAGGCAAAUAUGCAAACAGAAUGCUGUUGUAAGACUCCAGGGAGCCUUAGCUUUCUGGAGAUCCUGUGAAUAAAACACAUGAAGCUGGGAUUGAUGCAAAAAGCAAGAGGAAUUUAUUGUUUCUGUGCACCAGGUUCGUCCCAGACCCAAAGGAGAGGCAGUGGCCCCCAGCACCCAACUGCCCCCAGACUAGAGAUGAACCUACUACAUUGUGAAUGCUGGCAAAUACUCUACAACUGUAUUACAUCCCAGGGCUGGAACCCAACUCAUCUUCUGCAACAAUUACAGGGCAGGCUGGAUGAAGACACUCAACCUACAAUGUGGCCAUCUCAUGACUGGUUCAUGAGAAUGGCUUACAAAAUGCUUUCAAGACUGGGAAUGUUUAGCUGUCUGGGAGAGAAAAUAAGGAGACUCAGUCUACACUGUACAUUAAGGGCUGUUUAUUCUGUUAAAGGCUGACAUAGAUUAUUGACUCAUGUCACAUGUGAAAGUAAAUAAAAAUCCAGGUUAAUGUAUGCAUCUGGUAGGAUUUACCAAACACACCACCAUACAUGAGUGGACUUAGAAAGACCCAGGCCCCUCAGGGUUCUAAGGUAUUCAAGGAGUCUCCACAAAUACAAUAGUAACAUGCUAGUGUAGUCUAAAUUUUCUCUCACUGGUCUCACCUCAGUUCUAGUGUACUGCUGAGUGGGGCAUUGGGCUAUGCACAGACAGGCUGGUCUCCAGUUGAGCU
This is a long non-coding RNA of Mus musculus (house mouse), 2016 nucleotides long. RefSeq annotates it as RIKEN cDNA 1700108N06 gene. The record is from RefSeq and is a predicted model, not a curated record. NCBI's taxonomy places the organism in Eukaryota, Metazoa, Chordata, Mammalia, Rodentia, Muridae. The transcript is spliced from 11 exons.